This 492-nucleotide ribosomal RNA is filed under the name uncultured bacterium. RNAcentral's name for it is "partial 16S ribosomal RNA". It matches the Rfam family "Bacterial small subunit ribosomal RNA", at positions 28 to 507 of the family's 1533-position model. The record is from RNAcentral.
GAUGAACGCUAGCUACAGGCUUAACACAUGCAAGUCGAGGGGAAACGACAUCGAAAGCUUGCUUUUGAUGGGCGUCGACCAGCGCACGGGUGAGUAACGCGUAUCCAACCUGCCCACCACUUGGGGAUAACCUUGCGAAAGUAAGACUAAUACCCAAUGACGUCUCUAGAAGACAUCUGAAAGAGAUUAAAGAUUUAUCGGUGAUGGAUGGGGAUGCGUCUGAUUAGCUUGUUGGCGGGGUAACGGCCCACCAAGGCGACGAUCAGUAGGGGUUCUGAGAGGAAGGUCCCCCACAUUGGAACUGAGACACGGUCCAAACUCCUACGGGAGGCAGCAGUGAGGAAUAUUGGUCAAUGGACGAGAGUCUGAACCAGCCAAGUAGCGUGCAGGAUGACGGCCCUAUGGGUUGUAAACUGCUUUUAUAAGGGAAUAAAGUGAGUCUCGUGAGACUUUUUGCAUGUACCUUAUGAAUAAGGACCGGCUAAUUCCGUG